UGACUAGAACCUUGGCUCAGC
This 21-nucleotide microRNA is filed under the name Caenorhabditis remanei. Its description in RNAcentral is "crm-miR-61". Its record names the gene crm-miR-61. Lineage: Eukaryota; Metazoa; Nematoda; Chromadorea; Rhabditida; Rhabditidae. The record is from miRBase by way of RNAcentral.